This 968-nucleotide ribosomal RNA is filed under the name Massilia consociata. RNAcentral's name for it is "bacterial SSU rRNA". It matches the Rfam family "Bacterial small subunit ribosomal RNA", at positions 42 to 1006 of the family's 1533-position model. The record is from RNAcentral. Lineage: Bacteria; Pseudomonadati; Pseudomonadota; Betaproteobacteria; Burkholderiales; Oxalobacteraceae.
GCAUGCUUUACACAUGCAAGUCGAACGGCAGCACGGGCUUCGGCCUGGUGGCGAGUGGCGAACGGGUGAGUAAUAUAUCGGAACGUACCCAGAAGUGGGGGAUAACGUAGCGAAAGUUACGCUAAUACCGCAUACGAUCUACGGAUGAAAGUGGGGGACCUUCGGGCCUCAUGCUUGUGGAGCGGCCGAUAUCUGAUUAGCUAGUAGGUAGGGUAAAGGCCUACCUAGGCGACGAUCAGUAGCUGGUCUGAGAGGACGACCAGCCACACUGGGACUGAGACACGGCCCAGACUCCUACGGGAGGCAGCAGUGGGGAAUUUUGGACAAUGGGCGCAAGCCUGAUCCAGCAAUGCCGCGUGAGUGAAGAAGGCCUUCGGGUUGUAAAGCUCUUUUGUCAGGGAAGAAACGGCUGAGGUUAAUACCUUCGGCUAAUGACGGUACCUGAAGAAUAAGCACCGGCUAACUACGUGCCAGCAGCCGCGGUAAUACGUAGGGUGCAAGCGUUAAUCGGAAUUACUGGGCGUAAAGCGUGCGCAGGCGGUUUUGUAAGUCUGACGUGAAAUCCCCGGGCUCAACCUGGGAAUUGCGUUGGAGACUGCAAGGCUGGAGUCUGGCAGAGGGGGGUAGAAUUCCACGUGUAGCAGUGAAAUGCGUAGAGAUGUGGAGGAACACCGAUGGCGAAGGCAGCCCCCUGGGUCAAGACUGACGCUCAUGCACGAAAGCGUGGGGAGCAAACAGGAUUAGAUACCCUGGUAGUCCACGCCCUAAACGAUGUCUACUAGUUGUCGGGUUUUAAUUAACUUGGUAACGCAGCUAACGCGUGAAGUAGACCGCCUGGGGAGUACGGUCGCAAGAUUAAAACUCAAAGGAAUUGACGGGGACCCGCACAAGCGGUGGAUGAUGUGGAUUAAUUCGAUGCAACGCGAAAAACCUUACCUACCCUUGACAUGGAAGGAAUCCCGAAGAGA